Molecule: long non-coding RNA, 701 nt
Organism: Drosophila serrata
Lineage: Eukaryota; Metazoa; Arthropoda; Insecta; Diptera; Drosophilidae
Gene: Ube4A
Source: RefSeq, a predicted model, not a curated record
UUUUUUACGAAAAAUAUGCUUUGUAGCAUGAAAAUAUUGGAGUUUGUUCUUUUUUUCCGAUGGUUAUGUGCAUUUUAUGUGAUCGUGAACUUAUUUCUAAUCGAAAGUGUCAUCGGAGAUCGAUUUGUUGGCUGAAGUGUUACCACCAAUAAUUUUGUUGUGUUGUGAAAAUAGGUAAAGCGUGUCCUCAAAAUGCCGAAAGUUAUAUAUAAACAGAUUUUUCGGGAUGCUUGGCUCCAAAACAACGAAUUUAAGUGCCAGGAGAAGGAACCAAAGCAUAUUGUUGCUACUCUUAUAUGGGCGCUCAUCACCUGGCAACACUGUUACAAACUUAUAUUUGUCCCAAAAAGUACAAAACAUACAAGUCUGAUAUGAAAAGAUAACAAAAUAUUUGAAUGAAAUUCCAAAUUCUAUAUCGAUGUCAAAAUACAUUGAUUCGAAUUAUUAUAUUAUUAUAUUAUAUUUAUAUUCAAUAUAUAUUUUCCUAUGUCAAAGCAUUUUGAAUUUCCAAGUUGUGUAGAUGUUUCCAUUAGACAGCUGAAAGUUCCAAAAGUUACAGUUUUAUGUGUAAAAGUUUUAACAAUUACAUCGAGAUUUAAAGAUAAUCGAGAGAGAUUUAAUGUAAUCGAUAAUCUCGUGUCGAUCUCCAGUUUUCGAAAAGACCCAACAGCUCCAAAAGCGGUGCGAUGAUCGCUUUGGAC